GUGCCAGCAGCCGCGGUAAUACGGAGGAUCCAAGCGUUAUCCGGAUUUAUUGGGUUUAAAGGGUGCGUAGGCGGCUUUUUAAGUCAGGGGUGAAAGACGGUAGCUCAACUAUCGCAGUGCCCUUGAUACUGAAGAGCUUGAAUGAACUAGAGGUAGGCGGAAUGUGACAAGUAGCGGUGAAAUGCAUAGAUAUGUCACAGAACACCGAUUGCGAAGGCAGCUUACUAUGGUUUAAUUGACGCUGAGGCACGAAAGCGUGGGGAUCAAACAGGAUUAGAUACCCUGGUAGUCCACGCCCUAAACGAUGAAUACUCGCUGUUAGCGAUACACAGUUAGCGGCUAAGCGAAAGCGUUAAGUAUUCCACCUGGGGAGUACGGUCGCAAGAUUGAAACUCAAAGGAAUUGACGGGGGCCCGCACAAGCGGAGGAGCAUGUGGUUUAAUUCGAUGAUACGCGAGGAACCUUACCCGGGCUUGAAAGUUAGUGAAUCAUUUAGAGAUAGAUGAGUCCGCAAGGACACGAAACUAGGUGCUGCAUGGCUGUCGUCAGCUCGUGCCGUGAGGUGUUGGGUUAAGUCCCGCAACGAGCGCAACCCCUAUGUUUAGUUGCCAGCACGUUAUGGUGGGGACUCUAAACAGACUGCCUGUGCAAACAGAGAGGAAGGAGGGGACGACGUCAAGUCAUCAUGGCCCUUACGUCCGGGGCUACACACGUGCUACAAUGGGUGGUACAGAGGGCAGCAAGCUGGUAACAGCAAGCCAAUCUCCAAAAGCCAUUCACAGUUCGGAUAGAGGUCUGCAACUCGACCUCUUGAAGUUGGAUUCGCUAGUAAUCGCAUAUCAGCAAUGAUGCGGUGAAUACGUUCCCGGGCCUUGUACACACCGCCCGUCAAGCCAUGGAAGUUGGGGGUACCUAAAGUAUGUAACCGCAAGGAGCGUCCUAGGGUAAAACCGAUAACUGGGCUAAGUCGUAACAAGGUAACC
RNAcentral lists this ribosomal RNA (983 nucleotides) under uncultured Sphingobacteriaceae bacterium. RNAcentral's name for it is "bacterial SSU rRNA". It matches the Rfam family "Bacterial small subunit ribosomal RNA", at positions 505 to 1501 of the family's 1533-position model. The record is from RNAcentral. Lineage: Bacteria; Pseudomonadati; Bacteroidota; Sphingobacteriia; Sphingobacteriales; Sphingobacteriaceae.